This 89-nucleotide transfer RNA is filed under the name Caulerpa lentillifera. Its description in RNAcentral is "tRNA-Leu". The record is from RNAcentral. Lineage: Eukaryota; Viridiplantae; Chlorophyta; Ulvophyceae; Bryopsidales; Caulerpaceae.
GUCACUUUGCUAAGGCAAGUCACUUUGCUAAGGCCGAAGCUCAAAGGCUUCCUUAGCUUUUGCCGAAGUUCUGGCCCUUGAAGCGAAGC